Ameiurus melas (black bullhead) is the source of this 69-nucleotide non-coding RNA. NCBI's taxonomy places the organism in Eukaryota, Metazoa, Chordata, Actinopteri, Siluriformes, Ictaluridae. The record is from the annotation of a GenBank genome assembly.
GUGGUAGCUCAGUGGUGAAGGUGUUGGACUUCUGAUCAGAAGGUCCUGAGUUCAACUCCCAGCACCACA